UACGUAGGGGGCAAGCGUUGUCCGGAUUUAUUGGGCGUAAAGAGCGUGUAGGCGGCCAGGUAGGUCCGCUGUGAAAACUCGAGGCUCAACCUCGAGAUGUCGGCGGAAACCAUCUGGCUAGAGUCCGGAAGAGGAGAGUGGAAUUCCUGGUGUAGCGGUAAAAUGCGCAGAUAUCAGGAGGAAUCCCGGUGGUGUAGACGGCUCUGUGGACCGCCACUGACGCUGAGACACGAAAGCGUGGGUAGCAAACAGG
Molecule: ribosomal RNA, 253 nt
Filed under: uncultured bacterium
Lineage: Bacteria
Description: partial 16S ribosomal RNA
Rfam family: Bacterial small subunit ribosomal RNA
Source: RNAcentral